RNAcentral lists this ribosomal RNA (483 nucleotides) under uncultured bacterium. RNAcentral's name for it is "partial 16S ribosomal RNA". It matches the Rfam family "Bacterial small subunit ribosomal RNA", at positions 29 to 523 of the family's 1533-position model. The record is from RNAcentral.
AGUGAACGCUGGCGGCGUGCUUAACACAUGCAAGUCGAACGAGAACGGAUUAUAGCUUGCUAUAAUUGUCAGCUAAGUGGCGCACGGGUGAGUAAUGUAUAGAUAACCUGCCCUCUAGAGAGGAAUAACAGUUGGAAACGACUGCUAAUGCCCUAUAUGCCUUUAAUACAUAAGUAUGCAAGGGAAACGCUUUAGUGCUAGAGGAUGGGUCUGUAUGGUAUCAGUUAGUUGGGGAGGUAAUGGCUCACCAAGACAAUGACGCCUAACUGGUUUGAGAGGAUGAUCAGUCACACUGGAACUGAGACACGGUCCAGACUCCUACGGGAGGCAGCAGUGGGGAAUAUUGCACAAUGGACGAAAGUCUGAUGCAGCAACGCCGCGUGGAGGAUGACACAUUUCGGUGCGUAACUCCUUUUAUAUAGGAAGAUAAUGACGGUACUAUAUGAAUAAGCACCGGCUACUCCGUGCCAGCCGCCGCGGUAA